This 1575-nucleotide unclassified non-coding RNA is filed under the name Dimorphilus gyrociliatus. Its description in RNAcentral is "dgyrCDS5525". The record is from RNAcentral. Lineage: Eukaryota; Metazoa; Annelida; Polychaeta; Dinophilidae.
GCAAUUCUCGCAGCGCAUUGUAUUACGUUGUUAGCUUUCAAUCUGGAUAUUGAAAAGCGACAUUUUCUCUACUUAAUGCCAGAAGAUUUCCUAGCAUAACAAUCUCGAUUUCUGCUUUCUUUUGUAUAAAUUGUUAAAUAUGAACAAUAAGUUCAAUGCGCUCAAGUCGGAGGAGAACGAAAAUGGAACUGAAGAAAAAUUUAAAGAGUUCUCUCCUGAACCUAUCCUACCAAGGAAGAAACCCCCACCGGUAAAGGAUGGAGACCAUUUAUUAGAGUAUCAUUAUACACUAUGGUUUUCACGAAAGUCACCGGGAAAGCAGUCAUCAUCCUCAGUAUCAUAUAAUUCUCAGCUUAAGUGCAUCAUGACUUUUGCGAGCAUCGAGCAAUUCUGGCUCAUUUACAGCCAUGUAGCUCGGCCGCAUGAAUUAUCUGGCCAUUGCGAUUACCAUCUGUUUAAAGAUGGUAUAAAGCCAAUGUGGGAAGAUGAAGCCAACGUUAAAGGGGGUAAAUGGAUGAUCCGCUUAAAAAAAGGUCUUAUUAGUCGCUGUUGGGAAAAUUUAAUAUUAGCAGUUCUAGGAGAGCAAUUUAUAGUCGGAAAUGAAAUUUGUGGAGCUGUAGCAUCAAUGAGAUAUCAAGAAGACAUUUUAUCUUUAUGGAAUAGAACUGCUUCCAACAAUGAAGUUACAAGUAAAAUAAGGGAAACUCUCAAACGUGUUCUGAAUAUACCCCAAAAUACAAUCAUGGAGUAUAAAGCUCAUACGGAUUCCAUCAAGGAUAAUUCCAGCUAUCGAAACACCGACGUUUUUGUGAAAUAGUUUGUGAAUUUUUAAGAUAAUUAGUGUAUUUUAUUCUGCAAAUACACAAAUGUUAAGGGAUGCAGUUAAUUUUAUUGAGAAUAUAUAUUCUCUCUUUGUACAACCGCUUCUUCUUAUCAUUCCCACCUUUCUCUAGUGAGAAGGAAACUACGUGAUAUCGAAUAAUUUGGAGAAUAAUAGCAUCUUUCCAAAAGUAGGUCAAUCUUUCCAUUUCAAAAGUUUAUCCCCUGUAUUUUAUUAAAUUAAGAAAUUUUAGUGUGAUGUCAAGUUUCGGAGGAAAUCAGAUAAACAAAAGAUCUACAUUAAGGCUUUUUUUUCCGCGUUUGAUGUGUAGUCUAGUUAGUGCUAAUAGGAAUAAGGAGCAGAUUAACUUAAAAAGAAAUAAGGACAUACAAAAAAACAAAUUUCUGCGAUAAAACACUAUAGAAAUCGUCAUAAUUGGUGCAUGCUUCAAAGGGAGAAACGCUGGCUUUUUAUAUCAAUUUUAAGGUAAGUGGCGCAUCUAGGUCGCUUCAUCAAAUCCCUGUCAGCUACAUAUGGUUUAGAAGAGUUCGUUCCACAUAAGAGACCUUAGGAACGAAUAUGAAUAUGUUAGAGAUAGGUUUAGCAUUGGUAUUAAUUUCUCUUCUUCCUUCAAUAAACAUCUGAUUUAGUUUCAAAUCUUUUUUUGAAUGAUAAGAAAUCGAAACAAAGAGCAUACUAUAUUUUAUGCCCUACGUUAUAUUGAUAGUCUAACGUUCUGCAAUUAUAUAUAAUUA